GGGUGCGAUCAUACCAGCACUAAUGCACCGGAUCCCAUCAGAACUCCGCAGUUAAGCGUGCUAGGAUGGGUGACCUCCCGGGAAGUCCUCGUGUUGCACCCC
Non-coding RNA from Brassica rapa (field mustard), 102 nucleotides. The record is from Rfam. NCBI's taxonomy places the organism in Eukaryota, Viridiplantae, Streptophyta, Magnoliopsida, Brassicales, Brassicaceae.